Molecule: ribosomal RNA, 233 nt
Filed under: uncultured bacterium
Lineage: Bacteria
Description: partial 16S ribosomal RNA
Rfam family: Bacterial small subunit ribosomal RNA
Source: RNAcentral
CGGGGUGGAGUAACGCGUGGGUAACCUGCCUCACACAGGGGAGUAACAGUUGGAAACGGCUGCUAAUACCGCAUAAGCGCACAGUACCGCAUGGUACAGUGUGAAAAACUCCGGUGGUGUGAGAUGGACCCGCGUCUGAUUAGCUAGUUGGCAGGGUAACGGCCUACCAAGGCGACGAUCAGUAGCCGACCUGAGAGGGCGACCGGCCACAUUGGGACUGAGACACGGCCCAA